This 343-nucleotide unclassified non-coding RNA is filed under the name soil metagenome. RNAcentral describes it as "partial contains 5.8S ribosomal RNA, internal transcribed spacer 2, and large subunit ribosomal RNA". The stretch from base 1 to 121 matches the Rfam family "5.8S ribosomal RNA", at positions 35 to 154 of the family's 154-position model. The record is from RNAcentral.
GAUGAAGGAACGUAGCGAAAUGCGAUAAGUAAUGUGAAUUGCAGAAUUCAGUGAAUCAUCGAAUCUUUGAACGCACAUUGCGCCCGCCAGCACUCUGGCGGGCAUGCCUGUUCGAGCGUCAUUUCAACCAUCAAGCCCCCAGGGGCUUGUGCUGGGGCCCUGCGGCUGCCCGCAGGCCCUGAAAACCAGUGGCGGGCUCGCUAGUCACACCGAGCGCAGUAGCACAUCUCGCUCAGGGCGUGCGGCGGGCUCCUGCCGUGAAACCCCCCACUGUAACCCCAAAGGUUGACCUCGGAUCAGGUAGGAAUACCCGCUGAACUUAAGCAUAUCAAUAAGCGGAGGA